UGAGUAGGCGGUCAUGCAAGUCAUAUGUGAAAUGUCAGGGCUUAACCUUGGCGCUGCAUAAGAAACUGUAUGACUAGAGUGCAGGAGAGGUAAGCGGAAUUCCUAGUGUAGCGGUGAAAUGCGUAGAUAUUAGGAAGAACACCGGUGGCGAAGGCGGCUUACUGGACUGUUACUGACGCUGAGUACACGAAAGGGCGUGGGAGCAAACA
Molecule: ribosomal RNA, 209 nt
Filed under: uncultured bacterium
Lineage: Bacteria
Description: partial 16S ribosomal RNA
Rfam family: Bacterial small subunit ribosomal RNA
Source: RNAcentral